UCUUUAUCCUGUCUGUUUGCCUCGCUGCUCUCCCUGAUAACAUUUCCUGUCUGAUGCCUUGACCUCUGACUCUUUCUGCCAGGUGCCAUCCUCAGCGUUGACUCACUUUAGUGCCACCCUGCUGAUUGGCAUUGCUCUUCUGAGGUCAUCACCAUCUUUCUUCAGCCAACCAAAACAA
Molecule: non-coding RNA, 178 nt
Organism: Misgurnus anguillicaudatus (oriental weatherfish)
Lineage: Eukaryota; Metazoa; Chordata; Actinopteri; Cypriniformes; Cobitidae
Source: RefSeq, a predicted model, not a curated record